AGCCGGCCCGUCCCCCCCAAUAUUGGGAAUAUUUCUGUGGGUGUCGUUGUGGUUACAUCACAGCUCUCUCCUUCCUCAUCUCCAUUCUUGUGCAAAAUUCAAAUAAUUCCCCCCCUCCCCGAUAGCAGCUGUGCAUAGGGGGGGGCGGUUUUGUUGUUUUUCUUUUUUUUUUUAAGUCGCUCUUUAACGUUACGAAAGGAACAAUAAAAUGAAAGGCAAAACCGGCAUCUUAAAACUUGGCAAGUGAAAGCAGCUUGGACUGGCAGCCAAGAAUCCUGCUGUGGUGCAAAAAGAAUAGCAUCCACGGAGCCACCACAAUCCGGGGCUUCUCCUCUUUUAACAAUCGCGUCGGCACAGAGAAAUAAUUAUUCCUUGUAUCAGUGUUAAAAGAGUCAACAAGCUUAAAAAAAGCUUGCUUGGUGAACCUCCUCCAGAGCAGAAAACGUUCCAGAGGAGUUGGGCCUAGCAAUAUGGCAGCGCACGUUCCAUAGGAAAUCCUGCAGAAUGCUGCUGCUGCUGAGCUCUGUUCCCAAGGAGGGCACAAUCCCUCUGCUCCCUGCCCCGCUCCAGCCUUGACCACUGCAGGGACAGAGUUUUCUCCACCCCAAAAUUCCAACAGCAAAGCCAUCCCGGAUUUUCAAAGAUGCUGCAGCACGAAUUCUUUGGCUGCUGAAAACUUUGGGGAAAAGCUGGACACUUUAGAGCCCUCGAGCAGCGUGGUGUUAACAUUCCCAAAAAGCACCAUGGCAACCUCUCAGUGUUCUUGCCUUCGUGGUCAGCAAGUAGAAUCUCCAAAGACCUGACAGAAGAGCAGUGACUUCCAAGGCUGUUCUGCUCCAGCUUUUCAGGAAUUGCAGAAAUCCCAGCCACACACCCAGAAAUCCCAACCACACACCCAGAAAUCCCAGCCAUGCAUCCAGCAUCCAGGAAAGGACAAAGAGAAGGGGAUCAGGUGAGGGUGACAAAAGCAAUCUGGACACUGCAGCUUCUUCCAAGGACUCCCAGCCCUCCAGGGACGUGGUAAGUGUUGUCCUGAUGGUUCUGCAUUUUUACAGAAUAUUGAUUUCUUCAGUGAUUUGGUGUGGAAUUGGUCUGCAGAACAGUGGGGCUCAAACUAGAAGUUUUUGGUUGUCAAGAGCACCAUUCUGGAAAUGUCCAAAUCGUGACAACUUUGUCCAUUUUGCUUUCCAGAGUGCCCCACACUCUGAAUUUUACCUUUCCUCACAUCAUUUCAAUUCUUAAUUUCUAUUACCUAAUGGUUUUUUUUUACUCCAUGGAAGACACUUUAUUAAUUUGGAAACUAUUCUCAUAUAUGCUGUCCUUACAGCUGAGCUGUAACCAUUAUUUUAAAGGUGCUUCCUAAAUGAUCUCUGUCUGUUUUGCCCAGAGUGAAGUUAUUGACUGGUCUCAAAAAGGCCUCAAGGUUUUUUAGUUAAUGCUGAAGUCCCUAAAGCUUCCUCCCUGGCUGAACAUCCCUUCUCCUGUGUGUCUUCCCUUUUGAAUUGCUAAUUCCAAUUGAUCUGAGGGAAAAAAAAAUAAAAAUCGUAAUAGUUUGUAUUUACUUUCUGCUAUAACAGCACCUACCAAGGUCUCUCCUUCCUUUGACCUUGUGUCCAUGAUUAAAUUCAUUCUUCCUUUCUGUUUUCCAGCUUCUCUCUGCAAACUUUCUUUCGCUCCAUUUCUGCAAGAACUUCCUGCAAACCAUGUCCCUGAGAGGAUUAGUGGAGGGGAUACCAAUUUUAUUUAUAUUUAUUUAUAAAUGGACUGUAGAGACUUGGCCCCUUUUUAAAUAUGAGAACAAUUUCCAGGCCUCUUUCAGUUGUGGUUAUUCCACUUCAAAAAAGAAAAACCAAACCCAACAAACCACAGAACAAUAGAGAAAUAUGAGAAGUUGUGGAAACCCCUCAAACUUUCUCUAUUUAAGUUUUGAGUUCCUGGUGGUCACAGGGCCAGGUGAUGCUGCCAGUUGUGGGGUUUUGGUUUUUUUUGUGUAGUGCCUGGCCCAGAGCAUUUGAAUUAAAUGCAAAGAUGGGAUCAAAUCAAACAGAAUGACACCUCUAUUUUUUAUUUUUUUUUUUUGGCCAGCCUGGAAGCCUUUAACAUUUUGGAAUUUGAGUGUUUGCAAAACAGGGUUGCUGGACUCCAGUAAAUGAAGUGUCCGGAUGUCGGUGGUGAUUCAUAAAAGCAAUUAAAAGAGGAAAGUGCUUUUCCUCUGAGCGUAAUGCCUUGGUUGGAGGAUGUCCUUAAGUGAGUGUGAAGUGCUCCAGCAGUGGUCAGGGGAUGGGGGCUCUUGUGUUCAGGUCAUGGAUCUGUUUCCAGCAAACACUUCUUUAUCACGUGGUGCUGCUGAUUAAAACCAAAUUAUUUUUCUCACAGAGUCCCAGAGCGUUUGGGGUGAGAGGGGAGCUCCAGAGAUCACCCAGAACAACCCCCCUGGCCAGGCAGGCUCACCUGGAGCAGUGACAGGGACACAUCCAGCUGGGGCUGGGGUGGCUCCAGAACCUCCCUGGGCAGCUGUUCCAGGGCUCUGCCACCUCCGUGGGAAGCUCUUCCUCAGGUUGAGGUGGAACUCUUUGAGUUUUACUUGCUGGCCAUUGCUCCUCGCCUUGUCACCAAAACCAGUUUGGCACCCUCCUCUGACACCUGCCUAGGGGAUGUUUGUGUGGAUUUAACAACUGAGUCUUAUUCAGUUUCUAUUUCAAUAUAGUUCCCAUUUCUUCAUCCUUAAAUUUGAGGGCAAUCCUGCUGAGGAUGCAGUGUUUUCCAUGGGAGAAAUGUGAUUGUGGCAUCAACAUCGGCGGUGACAGAUAAUUGAAACUCAUCAAAUAUGAUUUUUUUUUCCUCCCCCAGCCUAGUGCAGCUGCCUGGCAUUUCUGACCUUCCCCAAACACAAUUUCUGACCUUCCCCAUUUGUGCUUUAAAGGGAUUUUCCAGGAGCAAGGCUGAGAACCCGAUGGAGGUUGUUGUUGUACACAAGGAUCCAUCAGCACGGCCACGUUACCUAAGCCAGGAGCAGACCCUGAGGCAUUCCCUACAAAAUUCCCAUGUGGCUUUUCCAGCUUUCCCAACCAACCUGGUGGAUGUUGGGGGUGGUUUUCAGGCUGUCCCAGAUCAGGCACUUCCAGUCUCGCUGCCUUCUCCAAGGGGAUUCCUCUGGCUUCUCCUGGAGCUCGCACAAAUUGAAGUCGUGCCUUCCGUUGGCUUUGCCCUCCCAUCCUGCCCUUGGUUAUCCCGUGCUAAGGGAAGCAGAAGAGUUUACUGAUUUAUCAUGGAUCAUUAGGUGGAAGUAACUAUUCUUAAAACAUCAGGGUGGAUGCAAUAAUUAGGGAUGUGCUUUUGUUAACACCGCCAGCCUCUACCCUCUUGUACAGUACCCUUGGGUACUAAAUAAUUACCCAUUUUGUGUGGUUAUCUAGCUCACUAAUUACCCACAAAAAUUGGGGUCAGGUGUUAACUGCUUGAAAUAAGUAUCCUCCAAAGGCUUGGCUAAAGUGUAUAAAGAAAUUAUGUGUUUGCUACAAAACUUUGGGUAAAAAAAAAAAAAAAA
This is a non-coding RNA of Cyanistes caeruleus (blue tit), 3547 nucleotides long. The record is from RefSeq and is a predicted model, not a curated record. NCBI's taxonomy places the organism in Eukaryota, Metazoa, Chordata, Aves, Passeriformes, Paridae.